GCGUCGCGGACGUCGUCGGGUGGGGAGGACGGUUGAACGCUCUCCGCGCGCCGCCGAACGCAAUGAGUUUAAAGCCGCUAGAUUUGCAACAAUUUCGCGAUUUUUUCUCUUCGGGUGCCGCGCGGAUGGCCACCACCCCUCACGGCCCAUCCGAUUCGUUGGGAGGCGAGAUACUCUUCUUCACAGCACCACGUCUCGCUUGUUAAUCUGUUCUCGACGAAGCAAAGAACUUGGAAGGAGCAUUGAACACACUCGACACAAUGUUUGCUGGGGAUUGUAGCUGGAUUUCGAAUUCCGAUAGACUCGAUGCGAACAGCGGCCUGCGAACGCGAAUAACAUUUAUCUCAUGACCGUACGAAGAACUCGAUAGAUCGUAACGUCAAUUUUAUUUCUGCGAAAUCUGCGCAGAAAUGCACUUGAACUUCGACAUUGACUAUUCAAUAGUCAACACACCGAUCGCGGUUGUUAAAUGUUUCAUAAUCUUUAACAAUAAAUAAAUACUGAAUAA
Long non-coding RNA from Dalotia coriaria, 508 nucleotides. RefSeq lists it as uncharacterized. The transcript has 2 exons. NCBI's taxonomy places the organism in Eukaryota, Metazoa, Arthropoda, Insecta, Coleoptera, Staphylinidae. The record is from RefSeq and is a predicted model, not a curated record.